Molecule: ribosomal RNA, 3063 nt
Filed under: Triticum aestivum (bread wheat)
Lineage: Eukaryota; Viridiplantae; Streptophyta; Magnoliopsida; Poales; Poaceae
Description: partial small subunit ribosomal RNA
Source: RNAcentral
AUGGCGGCGAAGGCGGAGGUGCGGCCGCGGCCGCUGGAGUUAGACCCCAUCACGAGCCGCGUCGAGCUGGCGUUCUGGGAGGACCUCCGCCGACUCAAGCUCGACGUCCUCGGCACCGACGACUCCCCCAUCCCCAUCACCGGUUACUAUAUUCCAUGCACACAUCCAAAAAUGUCGGGCCUCUUAAGGCUGGGCGGAGAAUCAUUAGUGCCACCAUCUGCCAACUCCUCUGGCUCUAGGAACUCUUGUCCAGUCCCAGGGACCCUCAUAAACACGAAUAACAUGCGAGGGUUACAAAACCUGGAUGUGGAGUAUCUACUGAGAGAAGAAGCAAAGAAGAUCUUGCACGACAUUAUGUAUGGUAAAAUAGAAGAGGAUCCUUCUCUGCUACUGAGGUUCCUUGUGAUAUCAUUCGCGGAUCUGAAGAAUUGGAAGAUUUAUUACAGUGUUGCAUUCCCCUCAUUGGUUUUCAAGUCUGAAAUGACUUUGCUCAGCCUGCAUAGUGCCUCACUGGUGCUUAGUCAAGAGGAGGCAAAAUCAUUGUCUAAGUCACUGAAAGAGUGGCGCAGUUCAAAUGAAACAGCAGCUCUUCCAUUUUUCUUCGUCGAUAUAUCCUCGGAUUCUUCUAUUGCUAUAAGGCAACUCAAGGAUUGGAAAGAUUGCCAGGACAAUGGCCAAAAGUUCCUAUUUGGAUUUUAUGAUCAUGGUUGUCAUCAAGAUCCUGGCUGGGCUCUUAGAAACUACAUUGCAUUCCUUAGUCUGCGGUUGAAAAUUGAGAAGAUUCAGUUCUUAUGCUACCGAGAAAAACGAUCGGAGCUUGAUCUAGAGAAAUCCCUUGUUGGCGAAGCAUCAUUUCCACCACCUCAUGGCUGGGAUGACUCUGAUUAUGUGCCUGAAGCUAUUGGAUGGGAAGGAGAAAAGCCUGGGGAUGGAAGGAAAGAAAAGAAACUGAAAGAAAUCAAUCUUGAAUCAAUGAGCCCAGAAAGGCGGGAUGAAGAACAACAACUGAUGCACUUGAAGCUUAUGGGAUGGCGGCACUUCCCUGUUGAUUUGGAGAAGUUAUCUGGCAUUCGAUGUCUUCUGUUGGGUGCUGGAACUCUUGGAUGUGAAGUUUCUCGCUUACUCAUGACCUGGGGUGUACGGAAACUAACAGUGGUUGACGGUGGUCAUGUUUCUAUGCCUGAUGUACUCAAACAAUCACUCUACGUAGAUGACGAUUGUGGUGUCCCAAGAGCCACCGCAAUAGUUCCACAUCUAAAAGAGAGAUGUCCUGCAGUGGACGUUGAAGCCAUCCAGAUGGAAAUACCAGCGCCUGGGAAUCCGGUUUCUCCAAGUGUGCUUGAUGAUUGUGAGCGUCUUCAAACAUUAGUAGCUUCUAGUGAUGUGGUCUUCUUGUUGACUGACACAUGGGAGAGCAGAUGGUUUCCAACUCUUUUGUGUGCAAACGAAAACAAGAUGGCCAUCACGGCAGCAUUAGGACAUGACAGUUACCUUGUCAUGCGACAUGGUGCUGGUCCAGGAACAAGAAGAGGAAAUAUGGAUGACGUGAUUGCUCAGAUACAGAAUUUAUCCACCGAAGAUGCUCUCGGUCGUCAAAGAUUGGGGUGCUGUUUCUGCAACGAUACGACUUCCCUUUUCAACUCAGUCUCUGAUGAAACAGUAGCACUACCUGGGUUGACCUCCAUUGUAUCCGGCAAAGCGGUGGAGCUCUUUGCGAGGAUGUUACAUCAUCCAGAGGGGAUACAUGCUCCAGGAGAUAUGGCUGGUAUGGAUACUGAACAUCAGCUUGGUUUAUUGCCGCACCAGAUGCGAGGAUCACUCCCGCGGUGUGAUUUAUCAACUGUGAUAAGCAAUUCCUCAAACAAUUGUACUGCAUGUUCUAAUAUUGUACUGUCUGAAUAUAGAAGAGAAGGGUUGAAUUUUGUCAUGCAAGCCAUUAACCAACCAACAUAUUUAAAGGACCUUACAGGCAUUUCUAAUUUGAUAAAGUCGGACACUUGUUUGAAAUUGCCAGCCAGCUUCCCUGUAAAUUCUGGGAAGUUGUCUAGUGCUCGAUGUCUACUUUUAGGUGCUGGAACUCUUGGGUGCGAUGUUGCUCGUAUUCUUAUGGAUUAUGGUGUUCGGAAUCUCACAAUUGUUGACAGUGGUUGUGUUGUUGUGUCAAAUUUGGCAAAACAAUCACUUUACACAACUAAAGACCGCAAGACCCCAAAAGCGACAGCGAUACUGGAGCAUCUAAAAGAGAGAUGUUCGUCAGUGGAGGUUGAAGGAAUUCAAAUGGAAAUACCGAUGCCAGGGCACCCUGUAUCAUCUAAAGAAGCUGCUGGUGUGCUUAAAGCUUGCGAGCGUCUCCAGGAGUUAGUAGCUGCCCAUGAUGCUGUCUUCUUGCUGACUGACACAAGGGAAAGUAGGUGGCUGCCAACGCUUCUCUGUGCGAAUGAAAACAAGAUUGCUAUUACCGCAGCCCUAGGAUAUGAUAGCUACCUUGCCAUGCGACAUGGGGCUGGUCCAGGAAUAAAUUCUGAAGGUUCAGAUAUGGUUGCUGCCAUGAACAAGCUGUCUGCAGAAGAUGUUCUUGGGCGUCAAAGACUGGGGUGCUAUUUCUGCAAUGACGUUAUCGCUCCUGUUGAUUCGGUCUCCAACCGAACGCUGGACCAACAGUGUACAGUAACACGACCUGGACUGGCCUCCAUUGCAUCUGGCCAUGCUGCAGACCUCUUCACAAGACUGUUAAAUCAUCCAGAUGGGAUACAUGCUCCAGGAGAUAUCGCUGGCACAAGCAGUGAGCGUCCGUCUGGUCUAUUGCCACACCAGAUGCGAGGAUCACUAUCGCAGUACAGCUUAUUAACUCUCAUGGGCUAUUCCUCGAGCAGCUGUAUCGCAUGUUCCAAUGCGGUAUUGCGUGAAUACAGGAGUAGAGGAUUGGAUUUUGUGAUGCAGGUGAUCAACGAACCAACCUACCUAGAAGACCUGACGGGCCUGACGGAGUUGAUGAAAUCGGCGGAUUAUUCUCGAGUCGAGUGGGUCGAUGAAGUUGACGACGAGGACUUUGCCGACAUGUGA